UGAUUCCAUCUGUCCUCAUCUGGGACUGGACUUGCUAUAAAAGAAUCAUAUUAGGAGGCAAAGCGGAACAAGUUUAGUUAAAUAAAGAUGUCUGUCUACAAGAAUGCUGCUACAUGUGCUCUGUUAAUUCUGGUUAUCUUUGCACUGUGCAUGAAUUCGAGGUGUGGAUAUGGUGAAGCAACAAGAAUCUUCUUAGACUUCUCUUCAGUUCCAGUGACGGAAAGGUUGGGCGGCCUAGACAGCAGCCACCGCCGGAGCAUCAGGGCAUCGCCCGGAGGGAGCUAUCCUGCCCCGGCAGCUAAUGUAAACGACCAUGUACAUCACUAGCUACUGCUUGAUGUCAUAGUAUGUUGGAUUAUCUAUAUAACUGGAUCAAGAUUUAGGUGACCUCUAUUUUGUUGUGGACUUCUCACUUAUAAUAAGAAGACUUUGUUUUGUCUGUGUU
Non-coding RNA from Nicotiana tabacum (common tobacco), 445 nucleotides. Lineage: Eukaryota; Viridiplantae; Streptophyta; Magnoliopsida; Solanales; Solanaceae. The record is from RefSeq and is a predicted model, not a curated record.